Molecule: transfer RNA, 77 nt
Filed under: Mycobacterium sp.
Lineage: Bacteria; Bacillati; Actinomycetota; Actinomycetes; Mycobacteriales; Mycobacteriaceae
Also listed under: 18 other names
Description: tRNA-Glu
Rfam family: tRNA
About the family: Transfer RNA (tRNA) molecules are approximately 80 nucleotides in length. Their secondary structure includes four short double-helical elements and three loops (D, anti-codon, and T loops).
Source: RNAcentral
GCCGCAUUCGUCUAGAGGCCUAGGACACCGCCCUCUCAAGGCGGAGAUCACCGGUUCGAAUCCGGUAUGCGGUACCA